UACAGAGGCCUCGAGCGUUAGGCGGAAUCACUGGGCUUAAAGCGUGUGUAGGCGGACUUCUAAGUACCUUGUGAAAUCCCACGGCUCACCCGUGGAACUGCUUGGUAUACUGGUCGUCUUGAGCCUUCUAGGGGCGAGUGGAACAAAUGGUGGAGCGGUGAAAUGCGUAGAUAUCAAGUGGAACACCAGUGGCGAAGGCGAGUCUCUGGACAUUUCCUGACGCUGAGGCACGAAAGCCAGGGGAGCAAACGGG
Molecule: ribosomal RNA, 253 nt
Filed under: uncultured bacterium
Lineage: Bacteria
Description: partial 16S ribosomal RNA
Rfam family: Bacterial small subunit ribosomal RNA
Source: RNAcentral